This 138-nucleotide small nuclear RNA is filed under the name Aotus nancymaae (Ma's night monkey). RNAcentral describes it as "U4 spliceosomal RNA (ENSANAG00000011698.1)". It matches the Rfam family "U4 spliceosomal RNA". From Rfam's summary of the family: U4 small nuclear RNA (U4 snRNA) is a component of the major U2-dependent spliceosome. The record is from Rfam by way of RNAcentral. Lineage: Eukaryota; Metazoa; Chordata; Mammalia; Primates; Aotidae.
AGCUUUGUGCAGUGGCAGUAUCGUAGCCAAUGAGGUUUAUCUGAGGCGCGAUUACUAACUGAAAACUUUUCCUAAUACCCCGCCAUGACGACUUGAAAUAUAGUCGGCAUUGGCAAUUUUUGACAGUCUCUACGGAGA